CCUACGGGUGGCAGCAGUGAGGAAUAUUGGUCAAUGGACGAGAGUCUGAACCAGCCAAGUAGCGUGAAGGAUGACUGCCCUAUGGGUUGUAAACUUCUUUUAUAUGGGAAUAAAAUGUUCCACGUGUGGGAUUUUGUAUGUACCAUAUGAAUAAGGAUCGGCUAACUCCGUGCCAGCAGCCGCGGUAAUACGGAGGAUCCGAGCGUUAUCCGGAUUUAUUGGGUUUAACGGGAGCGUAGGUGGAUUGUUAAGUCAGUUGUGAAAGUUUGCGGCUCAACCGUAAAAUUGCAGUUGAAACUGGCAGUCUUGAGUAAAGUAGAGGUGGGCGGAAUUCGUGGUGUAGCGGUGAAAUGCUUAGAUAUCACGAAGAACUCCGAUUGCGAAGGCAGUUCACUGGACUGCAACUGACACUGAGGCUCGAAAGUGUGGGUAUCAAACAGGAUUAGAUACCCUAGUAGUC
This 460-nucleotide ribosomal RNA is filed under the name uncultured bacterium. RNAcentral describes it as "partial 16S ribosomal RNA". It matches the Rfam family "Bacterial small subunit ribosomal RNA", at positions 338 to 795 of the family's 1533-position model. The record is from RNAcentral.